This 120-nucleotide non-coding RNA is filed under the name Pseudoxanthomonas wuyuanensis. Lineage: Bacteria; Pseudomonadati; Pseudomonadota; Gammaproteobacteria; Lysobacterales; Lysobacteraceae. The record is from RNAcentral.
GGGAGUCGGUCUCCCGAAGUCGGCGUACAGGCGUUGGCUUCAAACCGCUGCGGUGCUGCUGCGCUAAAGAGGCGUGGUGGUGAGCGACUGUAGAAAAGGCGUUCAAAGAGAACGUCAGGU